UGGGCUAUAGCUCAGUGGCAGAGUCCUUGCCUAGCAUGUAAGAAGACCUGGGUUUGAUCCUCAGCACCACAA
Ictidomys tridecemlineatus (thirteen-lined ground squirrel) is the source of this 72-nucleotide non-coding RNA. The record is from Rfam. NCBI's taxonomy places the organism in Eukaryota, Metazoa, Chordata, Mammalia, Rodentia, Sciuridae.